RNAcentral lists this long non-coding RNA (1429 nucleotides) under Pan troglodytes (chimpanzee). RNAcentral's name for it is "lncRNA (ENSPTRG00000054631.1)". The record is from RNAcentral. Lineage: Eukaryota; Metazoa; Chordata; Mammalia; Primates; Hominidae.
CGGGGAGGCAGCUAAGGCCCAGCGAGAAAUCGAGCACAGCAGCUGCUGGGCCAGGUGCUAAGCCCCUCACUGCACGGGGCUUGCGCGCCGGCCCGCCGGCCGCUCCGAGUGCGGGGCCUGCCGAGGCCACGCCCACCCGGAACUCGCGCUAGCCCGCAAGCGCCGCGCGCAGCCCUGGUUCCCGCCCGUGCCUCUCCCUCCACACUUUCCCGCAAGCUGAGGGAGCCGGCUCCCGCCUUGGCCAGCCCGGAAAGGGGCUCCCACGGUGCAGCGGUGGGCUGAAGGGCUCCUCAAGCACGGCCAGAGUGGGCGCCAAGGCCGAGGAGGCGCCGAGAACCAGCGAGGGCUGCCAGUAUGCUGUCACCUCUCAUUAUUACUUGCCGAUGUGAGUGGAGAAGGAGACUUGGUGAUAACAGGACUGAAAACCUUGUGUAGCCUACAGUCCAUAUGCUUCAGUCUAUUGUGUCUUGAUCUAAGAAGAGAUGCAGAACAGAUGGUAUGUUGGUGGCAGUCUGAGUUAAGCUUAUCUUCUGUAAGAAAAGAUUUCUACUGUCCAUAUUUCUGACUUAUUAUACCCAAUUUUAAUAUGCAUCUUAAAUGACAAGUGUGAAAAUAUAAGCACUUAAAUAUUUGCAGUUCUUUAAAUCUUGACGAACAUUGGUGGACAUAGUUGUUAUAUGAAAAUUUAAGAGCUGUUUUCAUGAUGAUUUUUAAAUCCAGACUUUCUUCAGUCUUUGCUAAAUUUAAAUCUCACAGUUCUCAGGUACUAGAAAGGGGCCUUUUUCUGUAUGCUCUAGAACUCUUUGGCCAAUAUACGUUACUUAAAUUUGUAUAUGAGCACAUCAUUUUUUGUAAAAAGUAAUCAUUCUAUUCUCUGCUUAUGAUUAUAGCAUUUUGAUUCAUUUUACUUCAUCUAGUUUGGCAAUAUUUUGAUAGAAAAUGCAUCAGAUAUAGGGUUCCUAUAGGAUCACAACAUCAAAACUUUCAUGUUACAGUGUUGAUAAAUUCUACAGACUUUGAUAAAGUCUACAGAAGUGUAACAUUCCCUAGACUCAUUAAAAAUUUUAAUAGUAUGUCCAGUCCCUUUGAUAGGCUGCUAUUAUUAUUAACACCUGUCAGGAGAUGACUCAACUAAUUAUUGAAUAAGAUGGUCUUAGAUGAUAAGAUUUUUUUUUCAUAUUGUGAUAUUUUUGAAAUGAACAGCGCUGAAAAUAUGAAGACAAAAUUUUGUUGUUAAAUGGGUUUAAACCCAUUUAUUAGUUCUAUGCACUUGGACAAAUUUGUAACUCUUAAUUUUGCCCAUAUCAAUAUAGCAUAAUACUAUCAUUGGAAUUACUUGUAAAAAUAAAAGGAGUUAUUAUACAAAAUUAUUGUCAGAUGCUAUCAGUACAAGUAAAAUAUAUUAGUUCCUCCAUUAUCUAUUUUUAAC